CCCUGUUUUAGAUAGACUUAGUUGAAGAUUCUUGCAAGAAAAUCAAAUCCUUAAAAGAAAAGUAAUCCAAAAUGUUUUUUUCUUCCUAAUAUACAGACCAUACACCAGCCUCCCUAUACACGGAAAAAUAAAUUGAACUUUUUCUUUGUGGCGUGAUUGCGAACUCAAGAAAAAGAGCGAGAGAGAGUUAAAAAAUUAACCUCAUUUUAUUCAGAAGCACUUUUCCCAACGAUAAGGUAUCCGGUUCGCUGUACGCUCUUUUUCUAAAUGAAGCCACAGAUUUCAUUUUCAUUCUUAAGUAUCAGGAGGCAACAAAAAGGUAACAAAAAUAAGAAGGUCAGACGAAGAGAAAAAAGUGACGCGCUUCUUAAAUUGUAAUCGAACUUGGACGAAAUCUGGGUUGAUCGUCACCUUUAAGUCCCUCACUGUUUUCACGGUCACUGCCAUUGAAAUCGGUUUCAUUGUUCGCAUUGGUUGAUGCUUUUUUUCCUGAUCACAGUGUGUUAGUGGAUUAUCAAAACUCACUUGCGAUUUUCUUUUCUUUCGGAUAUUUAGCUUCGUACCUGCACCAAAGUUUUGAAUGACGGAAAAAUGAAAGGGCUAUGCUCAUUCCUGGCAUUCUUCUUUAUUCUGCAAGUUUUGAGAGUUAAAUGCUUUCAAAAAGUCAUAACAGAACAAGAAGCAAGUACACUUAGACCAGGAAGGCUUUUUGUGCAAGUUCUCACUGAACCAGAAAAUCUUAUUAGGCUGUUCGAAGGUUUAAAUCUUUCUUUUCAAAUGCUGCGUCAUAUAGGUAGAACUGGUCCUGCACUUAUGCGUUUAUCUUUUGACAGAGAAUUCCUACUUGCACCAAAUGAUCAAAUUGGAUUAGAUCAUUGGAAAAGACCCUAUUAUGCUCGUAUGCCUACUAUGUUUUCUCAAGAAGCACCACGAUACAUUAGAGUUCCUGCAAAUAAUAACUGGUUGACGGAAUCCAAUAUUUUAGUGCCAACAUAUAAUUAAACGAUAAAAAGGAACCACAUUACCAGUUUUCUCUAUUGUGGAUGUUGAAAAAACUAAAACAAGUGUAUUUAAUAGUUUAUGUUUAAACAUGAACUAUUAAAUACAUGAACUCACUCCUCUUGUGUUCAUUUUAGGAUUUGUUAUUACCAUCCACUGAAGCGAUACUUUUAACGUUUAAAAUUGGAGAAAUUGAAGCAUUAGUAUGUUAUAUAAAGGAUGUCGAUACAUUUUUGGAUUUUUAUCAUUUAUUUUUUUAAAAUGCCUCGAUCUAUGGCGGCUUUUGAUUUUAUCAAUGUCUUUCCAAGAGGCAAAUUAAAUUAUUUCUUCAACUUAAUCGAAUAAUAAACAUAAGAGCAAGGCAGAGUCGAUUUUAAAACUGUCACUAGUCGAAUCAUAUUUAAACAGAAGACAGUUCUGGAAACUCAAGCAGCAAAUCAUUCGCCAGCUCUAAGCAAUUUCACUUCUCUAUCCAACCUUCAGCAUCUUAGCUACAACAGACUAUUUACAUAAUCAGGAAUCAAGCAAAAACAUGUUUGGUAAUUUCCCGUCUGGGAUGAGAAAAGCAAAAUAACUGGUCUAAGAGACCAUAAGAUAUAUCUAACUAAAGAAUAAUUUACGCAACAUUAAUGCUAACAAAAAAAUCACAUUAAACUGCAGAUGAUUUAUAUUUAUAAAGUGCUAAAGAAUUGGUGGUGUAGUCAUCUAUGGCAAUGCAGACUGACAUUACCCUACAUGACUGUGCUACCUGGUGACAUGCAGCAGGAUGCAAAAGAAAACCCAAUGUACAAAAACAAAUUAAGAACAUUGCAAAUGACAAGAAGUGCUUUGAAGCUAAUAAUGUUUGUUUAUAGAGUGACUAACCUUUAUGUUGCUUAAAAUUAUGUUAGUGUAUUGUUGCAUAGCUGUUUUACUUUCUGUAAUAAUUUUUUUUAUAGAAUCCUACAAAAAAGAUUACUAUGAUUUAAUUGAGUAACUCUCUAAUAUAUCUGUAAACCAUUUACAUGAAAAUAGUUGUUGCAAAUCAAAAGUUAAUAAGGGUGAACAUAACAGCUGUACUUAGCUGCAACUGAAGAACAGGGUACAUCAAAGGAAUUUCAAGAUGCUCCACUGAGUUAACAUCAAAAGAAAUAGUGAUUUAAAUAAUUUAUUUGAAACUUUUUCUAAAACUAAUUGUUUAUGGAAGUAUUUUGUUUUGAAUGUGUAAAACUGUUUGACUACACAGAGUGUGGACUAAAUGUAUAUACAGCAGCCUUUUGUUAUUAUGGCAUACUUUAAUACUGUCAUGCAAUAUAAAAAUCAAAUUUGUAUUUUCAUAUAUAUUUGGCUUUUUUGUAUAAGCUACUUAUUGCAAAAAAAAAGUUUCCAAAGAUAAAUUUUGUUUUAUCAGA
Long non-coding RNA from Parasteatoda tepidariorum (common house spider), 2390 nucleotides. NCBI's taxonomy places the organism in Eukaryota, Metazoa, Arthropoda, Arachnida, Araneae, Theridiidae. The record is from RefSeq and is a predicted model, not a curated record.